UUGACCUCGGAUCAGGUAGGAAUACCCGCUGAACUUAAGCAUAUCAAGAGGGGAGGAGGCG
RNAcentral lists this ribosomal RNA (61 nucleotides) under Trichoderma viridescens. RNAcentral describes it as "partial 28S ribosomal RNA". The record is from RNAcentral. Lineage: Eukaryota; Fungi; Ascomycota; Sordariomycetes; Hypocreales; Hypocreaceae.